UGACUGUGAUGGUCUUUGGUAGAAGCGCACUGCUUGAAGUAUUUCUCAGGUUAUUUUCACUCGGGCGUGUCCGGUUCGAUUCCUGCGGUAUGAAUUUUGAAGACUCGAGUAAUCAGUCUCUUUUCAAAUUCAGGUAAUGAGUAACAAUAUCACUGGAGGGAAGCAAUUCAGCACAGUAUGUUACCCGUGGUGAAGGCGAAACGGAUGGCACAAACGAUAUAGUGAUGAUUUGGAAAUAUCUGGUGUGACGACUCGAAAUUUUUUUU
RNAcentral lists this signal recognition particle RNA (266 nucleotides) under Spathaspora passalidarum NRRL Y-27907. RNAcentral's name for it is "Fungal signal recognition particle RNA". It matches the Rfam family "Fungal signal recognition particle RNA". Lineage: Eukaryota; Fungi; Ascomycota; Pichiomycetes; Serinales; Debaryomycetaceae. The record is from Rfam by way of RNAcentral.